RNAcentral lists this long non-coding RNA (1365 nucleotides) under Orbicella faveolata. RNAcentral's name for it is "uncharacterized LOC110048124, transcript variant X2". The record is from RNAcentral. Lineage: Eukaryota; Metazoa; Cnidaria; Anthozoa; Scleractinia; Merulinidae.
UGGGAACUAAAGUUGACUACGCAUGCUGGAAACACAAUACAACGGGAUACUCAAACCCCUGUCCACUGAGAACGCAGUUUCGACAGUUGUCGACAACUAAACCAGUGACUCCCACACACGGGGAAAAAUGGUCAAAAACGUUGUACUUUGUCGACAAGAAAAGCAGUUUUCCUUUUCGAAAAGGGACAUUGCUUAGUUGUCGAUAACUAAAAAUUAAGCGUUUUGUUUUCGACUACUCAUCUGGCGUACAGAUAUAUUUUAGUUGUCGAUAACAAAUAGUUUGCCGACAACUUAAGGUGUAGUCUGAGCACUUACUUGCGGUGUUCCGCUAGAGAGAACAAUAACUGGAGCUCUAAGAGUUGUUGUGUCCUUUAGUCGAGAUAAAAUCUGAAAUAUGUUUGCAGUUUCUUUGUUUUAUCUUUGUUUCCUUCAGCUUUGACAGUCUCGACUCCCUAGCUUUGUACGGCUCUUUUUUUGCCAUUGUUUUCUUGAGGCUUACCACAAUUAUUCGUGCCGGCUGACAGGAGAUAUGGUCGACCGUAUUGACUGUGAGCACGUGAAAAAAGUUUACAAAACUUUUCAAGAUGCAGGGUGUAUGUUCUCAAACAAACACAAAAAACAUGCAAAUAGUUUUCAAGGCAUACCUUUAUCUUGAGGUGACUGAAGAAUGUCGGGAAGUGCUUAACAAAGAGUUUAUGGCCACAAAGAACCUUUCUACAAGACUUGCAAUGAAAGUUAAAAUCCUUGCUGAACGUAACGAGAGAGGUUAACGAGAAUUUUAUUACCCGCUUGCCUCCUAACUCCGAGUUUUGGUCAAAGAAGUUGCACAUGAUUGAUGUCAUGAUGAGAUGGAGACGUAUAUACAUUCAGGUUUGACGGCUUUGUCGAAGUAUCUUUGAAUCGAGAGCCGCAAGCGACGGUCAGUUGCAGACGGUGAGAUUUGCUGGCCCACUAAUAAACCUUGACAAGAACAUCAUUGAAGAGGUGAUUUCUGAAGAGAUUGCCUCAUUGCCUGAAAGAAUUUCAGCAGCAACAAGGUGGAAGAAGGCAUGAAGAAACCAAGCAAAAAAAGGAUCAUCACCUGAUCAGGAAGACCCCAAUGGAGGAAAACAAAAUACAAGAAAAAGUGUAAUGUGGUACCACUCGGGCAAAUACAUUGCCACACCUGUGUUUGAUUGUUGGGGCCAGAACUGUGUUGAGGAUAGCAGGCAUUUGAUGUAUCAAUGAUUGUCACUUGGGCAAGGAAAGGGAAAAUACUCUUGUUUGAUUGGUAUCUAUGAGCUUCUUGGUAAAUGUUUGGAUGGACUGUUUUGGUACACAAUGUGGUGCAAGUAGACACUAACACAGGUAUUACUCACUUCUGGU